GGCCUCAUUCUAGGUUAGAAUGGGCUCUGUUGAUUUGUUUCCCUAUGUGGCUAAAAUUGAGACACAGGUAAGUCACGCUUCCAUUACCGCAAAUGAAUUACAGUGGCGACAGUGAGACCUGUGACGUUU
Fukomys damarensis (Damara mole-rat) is the source of this 129-nucleotide small nucleolar RNA. The record is from Ensembl. Lineage: Eukaryota; Metazoa; Chordata; Mammalia; Rodentia; Bathyergidae.